CGCUGCCAGAAACGUGACUGACAAAAAUCCAUGGCGGGAUUGUAUAAAUAGUGGAACUUCGCAUGUGCCACACAGACCUGUCUUCACCGCCUUGAUCUCCGGCUGGUCGAGGAUUACUUUCACCGAAACAAAAUGAAGUUUACGCACUAUUUGGCUCUAAUGGUUCUGUUGGUGCUGGUGGUGGGAAUGACAGUUGCUGAUCCCGCACCAGAGGCUUUAGCUAACCCUGAGCCCUAUAAGAAACUUAAAUUAAAGAAAUUAAAGAAAGUUGGUGCUUUACUGAAGCUCCACUUCUUCAAAGGGCGUGGAAAGCUACGCCAGCGUGCUAGGGGACACCAGCGUCAGCAUGGUCAUGGCAGCUGGUGAUGGGGAGGGCACGGAUGGUGAGGACCUGCAACAUGACAAUAGACACGUGAACAAAGAAUUCUGUACUUCUGAACGUUCUCCCCCUACCAUCUCCCCUUCAAUUGUUCGUUGUCCUUCCCGUGUGACCAUGAUGGUACGAACAAAUGAACCUUACACUACAUUCAUGAGCCUGUUGAGUUUUGUGAAAGGGACUGGCCGUGUACGGCAAAAGGAAGCACGCUACGCGGAACGAUUGAAUAAAUCUAAGUGCCUUCCUGUUUUCAUGUCCUUCAGCCCUUCACCCUCAUUUGUGAUGUAUAUACAACAUAGGAUCCAUGACAGCUUAAUACUACUCUUUAUAGGGAAUAGCACAUCUACUAAUAA
This is a long non-coding RNA of Scylla paramamosain (green mud crab), 729 nucleotides long. RefSeq lists it as uncharacterized. Lineage: Eukaryota; Metazoa; Arthropoda; Malacostraca; Decapoda; Portunidae. The record is from RefSeq and is a predicted model, not a curated record. The transcript is spliced from 2 exons.